UCCUCCUUAUCGAAGGCAGUUUCCUAAGAGUGCCUCUCUUGCGAGAGUAGCAACAUAGGAUGGGGGUUGCGCUCGUUGCGGGACUUAACCCAACAUCUCACGACACGAGCUGACGACAACCAUGCAGCACCUCUACUCGCUCCCUUGCGGGUCGCUCAAUGUUUCCAUCGAACUACCACGAGCAGUUCAAGCCCAGGUAAGGUUCUUCGCGUUGCGUCGAAUUAAACCACAUGCUCCACCGCUUGUGCGGGCCCCCGUCAAUUCCUUUGAGUUUCAACCUUGCGGCCGUACUCCCCAGGCGGUUCACUUAAUGCGUUAGCUACGGCGCGGAAGGGGUCGAUACCUCCCACACCUAGUGAACAUAGUUUAGGGCUAGGACUAC
This 382-nucleotide unclassified non-coding RNA is filed under the name uncultured Elusimicrobia bacterium. Its description in RNAcentral is "contains 16S-23S intergenic spacer region". The record is from RNAcentral. Lineage: Bacteria; Pseudomonadati; Elusimicrobiota; Elusimicrobia.